UACGUAGGGCGCGAGCGUUGUCCGGAAUUAUUGGGCGUAAAGAGCUCGUAGGUGGUUUGUCGCGUUGUUCGUGAAAACCGGGGGCUUAACCCUCGGCGUGCGGGCGAUACGGGCAGACUGGAGUACUGCAGGGGAGACUGGAAUUCCUGGUGUAGCGGUGGAAUGCGCAGAUAUCAGGAGGAACACCGGUGGCGAAGGCGGGUCUCUGGGCAGCAACUGACGCUGAGGAGCGAAAGCGUGGGGAGCGAACAGG
Molecule: ribosomal RNA, 253 nt
Filed under: uncultured bacterium
Lineage: Bacteria
Description: partial 16S ribosomal RNA
Rfam family: Bacterial small subunit ribosomal RNA
Source: RNAcentral